GGAGUUAGCCGGUGCUUCUUCUGUGAGUGAUGUCCUUCCUGCCGGCUAUUAACCCGCAGGCCUUCUUCCUCACUGAAAGUGCUUUACAACCCGAAGUCCUUCUUCACACACGCGGCAUGGCUGGAUCAGGGUUGCCCCCAUUGUCCAAUAUUCCCCACUGCUGCCUCCCGUAGGAGUCUGGGCCGUGUCUCAGUCCCAGUGUGGCUGAUCAUCCUCUCAGACCAGCUACGGAUCGUCGCCUUGGUGAGCCGUUACCUCACCAACCAGCUAAUCCGACAUAGGCUCAUCCGAUAGCGCGAGGCCCGAAGGUCCCCCGCUUUCCCCCGUAGGGCGUAUGCGGUAUUAUCCUGGGUUUCCCCCAGGUUAUCCCCCACUACCGGGCAGAUUCCUAUGCAUUACUCACCCGUCCGCCGCUCGCCACCAGGGAGCAAGCUCCCCGUGCUGCCGCUCGACUUGCAUGUGUUAGGCCUGCCGCCAGCGUUCAAUCUGAGCCAGGAUCAAACUCUGA
Molecule: ribosomal RNA, 508 nt
Filed under: uncultured bacterium
Lineage: Bacteria
Description: partial 16S ribosomal RNA
Source: RNAcentral